CCUGUCUUCCAGCAUAACAGGAGAUCAAGUGGAUAAUAAAAACAGCUGGAAAAGAGCUCCAGGAAAAGAAUGUAAAGAAGUAAAAUAGAGCACAACUAAAAAAAAAAAAAUUGUAUUUUCCCAGAAGGACUUUAAUGGAAUAGGUAAAAAGAAUUGAAAUACUACGACCCAGCAGUAGUUGUGCUCUAUAGGUGAAUUAUCACUGGUUUAAUAGUGUGAUGGCAAACCUAAUUUUCUAAGGAAACAAUACAGCAGACAGACUUCAAGUUUUGAAAAUGCUUUUUGUGAGUUCCCUGCCCAGAGAGCUGCAAGGCUUUACUACAGAAGGUUGCACAGGCUUGAAUAUCUCUUGGGAUUUGGGCUCUCUGUACUAGGGUUCUGAAUACUUCUCCUGAUCAUUUCAGAGAUCUACUUUCUUUGAGAUUUUUAUGUACUUCAUCUUUUUGUACCUCUUUAAAAUUUUUACUCGUUUCUCAGUUGUAGUACAAAUUAGGACUAAUUCCAUGGGACUCAGCAGUGCUCAUCAUGAAGCCUGCUUCAGUGAAACAGUGCUUUUUAAACUAAAAAAAAAAAAUUGUUUUUCCAGCAGCAUCGGCAUUUCCUCCUCCUCCCCAAAUCACUUCACCUUUUCCCAGUCAUCUGUUCUUUUGGCUAUUAUUUGAAGUACACCAGUAACAAUAUUGAUGUAAGUUCAGUCCAGAGUGCUUAAAAUAAUAGAAAGCCACAGGCAAACCCCUUUGCUUCUUUUUGUACUCCGUGUGGAACUGUUAGCACAAUAGCUGAGGGCUGAUAAUGAGCAAUCCUGUUGCGAAGGAUCCUGGAACAGUAAGCUGUUUUUGCAGGCCGAUCCAAAGUAUAAAGAAGUUAAUGGAUGGCUUUAUUCUUUGGGCUCCAAGGUUAUGCGAUGGUAUCAGGUUUUCAAAGGAUGUAUAAUAAGAGAAUUGUUCGGGAGAGAUAACAGCAAUUUGUGGCUGCAUGGGUAUAAUGUGCUAUUCAUUCUGAAAUCUUUUAGCAUGCAGUAAAAUAGGCAAAUAGGUAAACUUGUUUGCCAAGGAAUUUAACGCAAGAGAAAAGUAAUAUUUUUGGAAGGGCUGUAUUCCUUGACUGGUGUAUCCUACUUGCACAUCUGACAGCAAAUUUUGGCUGCUGAUGGGAAAAGUGCUUUCAAUCAAGGUAGCAGGAUGUGCAGAAUUACCAGAAAAGACAAAAACCUCAUGAAUGGUGUGAAAAAGAGAAGGAAACCAUGCAACACAGCAAAAAAGGAUGAACCUAUUCUCGAUCACACAUCCGCAGUCCAAUUGAUGUCUACAAGGGCUGCAUGAUUUAGUGCACACAAGCAGUAUUUACCUCAAAAGAUCUAAAAUAAUUGGGAGGGAAUUGUUGAUGACUAAUGGGGAAGUUCCAGUGAGAAGUACCAGGUUGUGCUUGAAAAUGUAGAAUGACUGAAAAUGAAAGUAAUUUGAUAACUGAAGACAAAGAGAAGGUCAGAAGUUGAAGGCACCAAUGGAAGUCAGAAGGAAAAGCAUGAGUGCUGGUGUUAUGUACAGGCCGAAAGAGAGCUCCGGCUUCAUACCCAGGAGCCCAAGAUAACAAUCUUGUGCCAAGAAGCAUGGCUCCAUUAUUGCUCUCCCACUAAUGCAAAGGAUAAUAGAAUCAGGGUGAUGCAGGUCUGGAAGGGGCCACAGUAAGGCCUUUAAUUGGUUUCCUGCCGAAAGGCAGAAUGUAUGGUACUUAACGCUAUUUCUGGUAAUUGUGCUCGGGCCUGUUCUUAAAGGCCUCCACUGAUGGAGGCCUUGCAGACUCACAGAAGAGAGCAGGGAGUGGUGAUGUGUGAUGUGGGCUAACAGGACAGAAAGGCAGGCAAGGGUGGGGAACCAGGAGGAUCUGAAGGUAAGAGUGUGAUUAAAAAGAAGAAAAAGUGACAAAUCUCAGCUAAACGUCAAGGGCAGAUGGGGUACUGAGGGGCAUGAGUAGUGGGCAUUGUGGUGAUGGGAUGAUGGUUGGACUAGAUGAUCUUAGAGGUCUUUUCCAACCUUAAUGAUUCUAUGAUCUACGUGAAAAAUCCAAAGAAUGUGGGGCAUAGGAUAGGAAAGACAAAACUGUUUGUCAGGAAUUAGCUGAGGAAAUGUGGUGUUCACACAGGAGGAAGUUAGGUAAGGGAAAGAGGACUUGUGUAACAGGAAAAGUGGGCUACUAUUGAAUUCCCUGCAUGUUUGAUUUUUUAAAACAAUGUUGGUUGCUUGACCACUGAUCACAUGGACACUCAUGCAACUUCCAACCUGAUGUCUCUGUAGAUAAACAGAUCACACAUCAUGAAUUGUCGUGGCCUAAUGGUGGCUGUUAUAACUGCCAGAGCCAUGAGUAAGGGGCUCAGAAUCAGCACUUGAGUGUUUCCAUAUCAAGAUGACAGGACAGCACAGUGAAGUAUGAAAACCUAGCCAGUGACUUGAAGUUCUUUCCUGGACGUCUGCCAAGUAAUGCUACUGCUGAGAGGCUGUUAAAUCACUGGGGAGAACUUUUUUUCUCAGAUCACGGAUUUUGUAUAUACAUUUUUACAAGCAAUUCAAAUCUACUGAAAAAUAGGAGACCAGUACCACUCGAGUACAACAUAGGCUGGUCCAGCACCCACGGCAGGACAGGGCUGGCCUGCAGAGGCUCAGGCCAUCUGCUGCAUCAGAUAUGGCGUUAGCUCCUCUGUGAUAAUGUCUUAACAUAUGGAGACUUCACCCCAGUCGCUGCCUCCUAAGGAAGCCUCUGAAAACUGAAUUGCCUCCAGAGCACCACACCGAACACCGUGCCCCUCCAUGUCAGCAGGUGUGAUUCAGACCGAUAGCUGCUGAGGGCAACAGACUGAGCAGUAAUUAGCUGCUGUUAGUCAUCCUCUUCCCAAGUAAGAGUGGUAUAACAUUUGAUUAUUUCAACACAGUUGGAUGUGGGAGGGAAGGUAGGCCUGGAAACAUUCUCCUGACAGCAUUCUUCUCUGCUCUUUUAAGACACCUCUUGUGCCAACAUUCAGCGCAGCGUUUCAAGUAAAAUGCUAUUUCCUCUUGUAGGGCUGUGAGGAAAAAAUGCUGUCACAGGUUUUGUAACAAACAUUAGGUAAGCAAUAACUGCAUCUGUUGUGCAACAUGGGAUUCAGGUAGGAAAACAGUCCAUAGAUGGCUAACUGAGAGGCAUUGCGUGUCUCAACAACCUGGAGAAGGUGAGAUCAGCACUGAAUCUGGGUCUGGGUUGAGUAUGUUAGUGGGGCAAUUUCACACUGGUAAGUGUGAAGAACAAAAAGGGAAAGUUCUUAGAGAGGAAGAUAUUGAACUGACGCUGCUGAAGAAAAUGUGGAUUACUUGUGUUGAGCUGUGCUCUUCUUAUUACCUUCUCAUAACACUGUGUAAGCGCUCAGUAGUCUGCCUUCAGCAAGUUGUUUUUCUGGUAUACAUCUCACCUACCGUGCAGUGUUAAGCCUGUUGUUAACGGUGGUGUUGGUUCAUAUUAUUAAAAACAUAACCUCUAAACAGAAAGAAAAAAAAAAUACGCACACACAAAAAAGGUUUUGUGAGGAUUUCACUACACUUUGUUUUUUCUCUUCCUGCCUAAAUAUUUCAUCCUACUCCUGAAUUCACAAUGACCCAGAAGUCUGAGAGCUGCCUUUCUCUUACUUUUCUCUUGGGCAAACAAGACCAAAAUUCCUGUCUAUCUUUUGCCUGGAAUACCGAACCUCUCUUGGAAGGUCUUUGUGUUUGUCUCCACAAAAUCCUGGAGAUAGAACAACCUUGGAGGGAAGAAACUUGUUUAGGGAUAUGAGAUGUCGACAGAUCUUGAGCAACUAAAAUGUCCUCAAAAUCCACAGAGUACGUUUCUGAGGCGUUAAAGAAGUUUUAAUGAGGAAAUGUCCCAUGUGUAAUAAAAUUGGGCUUAUUUUGGGAGGGCUUACGGAGAAUCAAAUGAAAACUAUUUGGGAUUCUAACAUUCCCAUAUCUGGACUAAGAGUGUCCACUGCACAAGCACAGCCUGCAUUGCUGUUUUAUGUCUGCCUAUGAUCAGCUUUUUUACAGCAAAAUAUUACACUCUUACCAAGCAAACUUGAAAGAGAAAGGAAUUCAGACACCAAGCUAAAUAUAUGUUCUGAAAUUGCUUAGUCCAGCAUUUAGAGCAUAUUGUUGUAGGCUUGCAUUUAAAAAAAGACUCUGAACCAGCCAGCUGAGUGAGCUGAGCUGCUAGCGAGCAGAUCAGAAACCACGCCAUAGUGGUGGUUACUUCCCCUUCUUGCACAAAGACCUCAGCAACAUUGAUAAAACGAUAUGAACCGCCUAACGCAUUGGCAUGGUGUACAGGUGCUACCAGUUUUACAGGUGCUAAAAGGGUGUAUAUCUUGGUUUUGAAACAUGAGGGGUGGAUGACCAAGAAAGUGUCCAUAUUCUGGCUGUGAAAAUGACAGACGUAAAUUGACAUGAGUUUUGUGUUUUUUUUUAAACCAAUAUUUGUAACUAUUCCAUAUAUUGUCUGUGAGGAACACAUUACUCUUAGAGCCAGGGAGAUGGAUUUGGUGUGUAGCAGUUUGCACAAAUACUCAGUUUCAUGUUCUAAUGUGUCUCUCAUCAGUGUUUUAACUCUGUAUAUUUUGAGUGUUGUUUUGGGAUUGUAACUGAAAUAACGCCAAGUAAUGCAGUAUCAGCUCUAUCUUACUGGGAGAUUAUUCCAUAUUCAAACAUAUUCAAACUUUUCCAUCUUUCCAUUCCAUUAUUCACCCUGGUAGUUCUAAUAUUACUUUCCUGUAUUACAUUAACCCUCUCUGGGGUUUUAUGCUUUAAAUAUUUAUAGGCUGCUAUAAUGCCCAAAUAAUCUCAUUUCAAGUCCUGCAGAAUAAUUGUACAGUAAAAAUACAUUUUAACAGAACUUUAAGCCGUUGAAGGAGGUAAAAAAUUGCUUUGUGAAGAAGAAAUCUUUGCAGCAUUGUAGUUGACUUCCUUUUCUUGAUAGUGUUACUUUAGAACUGACUGUCAGUACAGGAUAGAUAUUGUGAGAUACGUUAUAUAUAUAUGGCACAGUGAGAGGACAAAAAAAAAUGCAGAUUCAAGAAAUAACCAUCAUUUUUCUGAUAUGUCUGACAACAUACAGAAUAUUUGAAUUUGGGCAAAGAAGCAAAGCACCAACCAGGAUUUUUUCACAGUGAGGAGGAAAGCUUCUGCAGAUGCUGAGCACAGAAUUUACACCAACUGAGACAUUUGUGUGAUUUGUGCCUCAUGCUAUCUUGGGCUGCAGCCAAAAGUGUAAGCUGCUCAGAGCCUGUUUGAGUCCCCUGACAUUACAUAUUCCCUGUAAAGCAAGAUGUUUUUAAAAAGUAAUUUACUUGCUGUGAUAUUAGAAGUCCUAAUGAGUGGAUCUAUACUUCCUUCUGGGUCUUUUGCAAACCUCGUAAUGAAUGUUGUGUAAUCUCUGUUGCUUGAUUAUAGAUCUAAUUUUGGAUACUGAUGUUUGAUUUGGAGAUUUUUAGUACUUUAGGAAAGACCAGAAUGAUUUGCAUUUCCAUGGCCUGCAUUGUUUUGAAUCUUAAUUGCUGUCCCUUAAUCACAUAAUCACUAGGAACUUGAAACUUCAGACACUUACUGUUGUUUGCACAGCAGGACUGUUGGUAGGGCUAAGGACUGUUUCCCAUCUGAAGUGUUUGCAGAUUUGCAUCCUGUCUCCAGCUGUAAUGGAGAGGACAAUGAUUUGGGCAAAGGCGCGGGGAAUAAACAGCUCAUGGUUCUGGUUUCAGGCACGGGGAGGAGCUAAGCCCUGCAUCCCAAACAGGGUGGCACCAACCAGAGGAAAUGAGCCUGACUCAUCAGAAAGCUUUAAUAAUUUGCCC
Long non-coding RNA from Gallus gallus (chicken), 5845 nucleotides. Lineage: Eukaryota; Metazoa; Chordata; Aves; Galliformes; Phasianidae. The record is from Ensembl.